Long non-coding RNA from Gallus gallus (chicken), 1030 nucleotides. Lineage: Eukaryota; Metazoa; Chordata; Aves; Galliformes; Phasianidae. The record is from Ensembl.
AGGCUAAGAAGGCAUAAGAAAGACUGAGAAGAAAACCAUUGCUUCUUGUAUGCUGCAAAGAGAUGGGAAGGAGGAAGGGGUCGUAAGGAAAACAUCAAAAGACAAAAUGAAGAGUACUGGUACUCAGAUAAACCUAACUUAAAAGUAGGCAAAGGGGGAGAGGGGACAGGAUAGAGAAAACUGGUCUCAGUGUGGUGGGGAAGUGAGAGCCCACCUCCGUUUGCCAGCUUUUUUCUGUUCCCAAGAGCGAUGUGCUCUGCAGAAGACAGACAGAUGGCAUUUCCAUUGCCUGUGCUCCUGUGGGGGAUUUUUCCAGAUGGGGAGUUGGAAGCUUCUUUGUGCUGUUACAGCCUUCCUCUCUAGCAGCUCUCGACCGCUCAGGGCCUCCACCAGUCUGCGUGCUCAGAUCCUGUGCUCCUUAUACACGCGCACACACACGUCUUGCUGCUGCAUGAAUUUCAGCUGAACCUGUUUGAAAAAUGGGUCCGUUUGUAUCUAGGGUGUUCUUCACACUUGAAAAGUAUCCUUGUUGCCUUUUCUUCUUAUGACAUGCACCUGUGUUUUGUCACAACGAAGAGAUUGCUAACAAAAACUGAAUUACUACCACUGAUCUUAAGGAAAAGCUGACAGGACUGUUUUUCACAGAGGAACCACAGACACCAUCGCCUCCAUCACCCAUUAACUUCAGCAGUGUCAGUGCUUUCCUACCUCUGACAAACAGGGAGAACAGAAAUGACAGGUUUCUCAAAACUACCUGAAAAAAAUAACAACCGUGGGGUGACCGAGGAAGCAGGAGAAAUCCAAGGAAGCCAUUCUAAAUAAGAAGCUGUCACCCUUGAUCUGCUCUCCCUUAACAGCUGAGCAAAUGAACACAGAAAGUAGAACUUUGGAAAGGUAAUGUGAUUUCAUGUUUUACAAUCAACUACAGGGACAGACUAAGUGUGAUCCCUUUAUCUUAGCUAUACAUUACAUUUCUGAACAUCUCACCUGCGUACAUAAGUACAUUUUUUGGUUUGUUUUUAUACUUCCC